UUUCUACUCCCUCCGUCUGAAAAUACUUGUCAUCAAAAUGGAUAAAAAGAGAUGUAUCUAAAACUAAAAUACGUCUAGAUACAUUUCCUUUUAUCCAUUUUGAUGACAAGUAUUUCCGGACGGAGGGAGUAUUUG
Molecule: non-coding RNA, 135 nt
Organism: Triticum aestivum (bread wheat)
Lineage: Eukaryota; Viridiplantae; Streptophyta; Magnoliopsida; Poales; Poaceae
Source: Rfam